AGGUCUUGACAUAUAAUUGCCGAUACUAGAGAUAGUAUUUUCUCUUCGGAGACUAUUAUACAGGUGGUGCAUGGUUGUCGUCAGCUCGUGUCGUGAGAUGUUGGGUUAAGUCCCGCAACGAGCGCAACCCCUAUAUCUAGUUACCAGCACGUUAUGGUGGGGACUCUAGAUAGACUGCCGAUGACAAAUCGGAGGAAGGUGGGGAUGACGUCAAAUCAUCAUGCCCUUUAUGACCUGGGCUACACACGUGCUACAAUGGCCGGUACAACGGGAUGCCACGCAGUGAUGCGGAGCUAAACCAUUUAAAGCCGGCCCCAGUUCGGAUUGUAGGCUGCAACUCGCCUACAUGAAGUCGGAGUUGCUAGUAAUCGCGAAUCAGAAUGUCGCGGUGAAUGCGUUCCCGGGUC
RNAcentral lists this ribosomal RNA (407 nucleotides) under uncultured bacterium. Its description in RNAcentral is "bacterial SSU rRNA". It matches the Rfam family "Bacterial small subunit ribosomal RNA", at positions 976 to 1380 of the family's 1533-position model. The record is from RNAcentral.